GCUGGGUGUGGUGGUGCACGCCUGUAAUCCCAGCUACUUGGGAGGCUGAGGCAGGAGAAUCGCUUGAACCUAGGAGGCAGAGGUUGCAGUGAGCGGAGAUCGUGCCACUGCACUCCAGCCUGGGCGACAGAGUGAGACUCUGUCUCAA
Pongo abelii (Sumatran orangutan) is the source of this 148-nucleotide unclassified non-coding RNA. It matches the Rfam family "Metazoan signal recognition particle RNA". Rfam says of the family: The signal recognition particle (SRP) is a universally conserved ribonucleoprotein. The record is from Ensembl. Lineage: Eukaryota; Metazoa; Chordata; Mammalia; Primates; Hominidae.